GUGCAGCAGUCGAGAAUCCUCCGCAAUACACGAAAGUGUGACGGGGCCAUCCCGAGUGCCGUCCGCUGAGGACGGCUUUUCCCCAGUGUUACAUAGUUGGGGGAAUAAGGAGAGGGCAAGCCUGGUGUCAGCCGCCGCGGUAAGUACCAGCUCUCCGAGUGGUGGGGACGCUUAUUGGGCCUAAAGCAUCCGGUAGCCGGCUGGGCAAGUCCUCCGUUAAAGUCCAACGAUUCAAUCGUUGGGCUGC
This 247-nucleotide ribosomal RNA is filed under the name uncultured microorganism. RNAcentral describes it as "partial 16S ribosomal RNA". It matches the Rfam family "Archaeal small subunit ribosomal RNA", at positions 330 to 575 of the family's 1478-position model. The record is from RNAcentral.